UUAAUGUCCAGGAGAGUGGCCCUCCGCAUGGAGGGUUGACUAGAGAUUUAUCGGUAUGGGAUGAGCUUGCGUCCGAUUAGCUAGUUGGCGGGGCAACGGCCCACCAAGGCGACUAUCGGUAGCCGGCCUGAGAGGGUGAUCGGCCACAUUGGGACUGAGAUACGGCCCAGACUCCUACGGGAGGCAGCAGUAGGGAAUAUUGCACAAUGGGGGAAACCCUGAUGCAGCAACGCCACGUGUGGGAAGAAGCAUUUCGGUGUGUAAACCACUGUCAUGAGGGAAUAAGGCCCGCCUCCGGGCGGGAUUGAAUGUACCUUGAGAGGAAGCACCGGCAAACUUCGUGCCAGCAGCCGCGGUAAUACGAGGGGUGCAAGCGUUGUUCGGAAUUACUGGGCGUAAAGGGAGCGUAGGCGGAGAUUCAAGCGGACUGUACAAUCCCGGGGCCCAACCCCGGCUCUGCAGUCCGAACUGGAUCUCUUGGAUAGUUCAGGGGCAGGCGGAAUUCCUGGUGUAGCGGUGGAAUGCGUAGAGAUCAGGAAGAACACCGAUGGCGAAGGCAGCCUGCUGGGGACUUAUCGACGCUGAGGCUCGAAAGUGCGGGUAGCAAACAGGAUUAGAUACCCUGGUAGUCCGCACCGUAAACAAUGCAUACUGGGUGUCCGGGGGUUCCCCCGGGUACCGUAGCCAACGCGUUAAGUAUGCCGCCUGGGGAGUACGUACGCAAGUAUGAAACUCAAAGGAAUUGACGGGGGCCCGCACAAGCGGUGGAGCAUGUGGUUUAAUUCGAAGCAACGCGCAGAACCUUACCAGGGUUUGACAUGG
RNAcentral lists this ribosomal RNA (822 nucleotides) under uncultured Fibrobacter sp. RNAcentral describes it as "bacterial SSU rRNA". It matches the Rfam family "Bacterial small subunit ribosomal RNA", at positions 163 to 989 of the family's 1533-position model. The record is from RNAcentral. Lineage: Bacteria; Pseudomonadati; Fibrobacterota; Fibrobacteria; Fibrobacterales; Fibrobacteraceae.